UACAGAGGUGGCAAGCGUUGUUCGGAAUUACUGGGCGUAAAGGGCGCGUAGGCGGCCUUCUAAGUCAGACGUGAAAUCCCUCGGCUUAACCUGGGAACUGCGUCUGAUACUGGAAGGCUAGAGUAUGGGAGAGGGAUGUAGAAUUCCAGGUGUAGCGGUGAAAUGCGUAGAUAUCUGGAGGAAUACCGGUGGCGAAGGCGGCAUCCUGGACCAUUACUGACGCUGAGGCGCGAAAGCUAGGGGAGCAAACGGGAUUAGAAACCCCAGUAGUCC
Molecule: ribosomal RNA, 273 nt
Filed under: uncultured bacterium
Lineage: Bacteria
Description: partial 16S ribosomal RNA
Rfam family: Bacterial small subunit ribosomal RNA
Source: RNAcentral